UGCGAGAACAUACCAGCAGUUGAUCUUAGUCAGAGGGUAGGACAGGACAGGCUGACACCACCUUUGGAGAGACAGCUGAAAUUUGUCACAGAAUUUCGGACAAUGUGAAAUUUUGAAACUUCUUGACUGAAUAAAUGACCUGUACCAGUCUGGAUUACGGCACAUGGCAUUUUAAGUUUCAGCAAACACUGGAGAAUAAUUUUAGGGAGAAAAUGCUUGAAGACGUCCAGCAGUCCAUGUAGCUGCUGAACAGCUGGAGAGAGGGCGAACCUUUGUUGCCGAGUGAUCUGGGGAAAACAUGGGUGAAAACGAUGAUGAGAAGAACACCCAGGCUGGCCAGCUGUUUGAGAACUUUGUCCAGGCCUCCACAGGCAAAGGCACCAUCCAGGCCUUUAACAUCCUCUGCCGCCAACUUGAACUUGAUCCUCUGGACUUUAAAAGCUUCUAUGCGAAACUCAAGUCCAAGGUUACCACCUGGAAGGCCAAAGCCCUGUGGAAUAAACUUGACAAGAGAGCAAGUCAUAAAGAAUACAAAAAAGGAAAUGCCUGUACAGGUACAAAGUGUCUCAUUAUUGGAGGGGGACCCUGUGGUCUAAGGACAGCUAUAGAGCUGGCCUUACUCGGGGCUAAAGUGGUGGUGAUAGAGAAGAGAGACACCUUCUCUAGAAACAAUGUGCUUCACCUCUGGCCUUACACCAUCCAUGACCUGCGAGGACUGGGUGCUAAGAAGUUCUAUGGGAAGUUCUGUGCGGGAGCCAUAGACCAUAUCAGUAUUAGACAGCUUCAGCUCAUGCUGCUUAAAGUAGCCUUGCUUCUGGCAGUGGAGAUCCAUGUGAAUGUGGAGUUUGUGAAGCUCUUGGAACCUCCUGAAGAACAGGAAAAUGAAGGCCCCGGAUGGAGGGCAGAGAUCCGACCAGCCGAUCACCCUGUGGCGGAUUUUGACUUUGACGUGAUUGUGGGGGCAGACGGACGCCGAAACACCCUGGAAGGUUUCAGAAGAAAGGAGUUCCGUGGCAAGUUGGCUAUAGCAAUCACUGCCAACUUUAUAAAUAGAAACACGACUGCGGAGGCGAAGGUAGAAGAAAUUAGUGGUGUUGCUUUCAUCUUUAACCAGAAAUUCUUUCAGGAUCUCAAAGAAGAAACAGGAGUAGACCUGGAGAACAUUGUGUACUAUAAGGAUGACACUCAUUAUUUUGUCAUGACUGCUAAGAAGCAAAGUCUUCUGGACAAAGAAGUUAUCAUUCAUGACUACAUUGACACAGAGAAGCUUCUCAGCAGCAACAAUGUGAACCAAGAGGCGCUGCUCUCCUACGCUCGUGAAGCAGCCGACUUUGGUACAAACUAUCAGCUGCCAUCCCUUGAUUAUGCAAUAAAUCACUAUGGCCAACCUGAUGUGGCCAUGUUUGACUUCACCUGCAUGUAUGCCUCUGAGAACGCAGCCCUGGUCAGGGAAAGGUUUGGGCAUCAGCUGUUGGUUGCUCUUGUCGGGGACAGUUUGCUGGAGCCCUUCUGGCCCAUGGGAACUGGUUGUGCCCGCGGUUUCUUGGCUGCCUUUGACACAGCAUGGAUGGUGAAGAGCUGGGCAGAGGGUAAAGCCCCACUGGAGAUGCUGGCCGAGAGAGAAAGUGUUUAUAGAUUGCUGCCCCAGACAACCCCAGAAAACAUCACCAAAAAUUUUGAGCAGUACACCAUCGAUCCAGCAACUCGAUACCCAAACCUCAAUUCUAACUGUGUGAGGCCACUUCAGGUACGCCAUCUCUACAUCACUGGUGAGCUACAACCUUGUACCCUUGAAAGAGCAGCUUCAGUGAGAAGAUCUGUUAAUCUUUCUCGACAUGAAUCUGAAAUUCGACCCAACCGGCUUUUGACAUGGUGUCAGAAGCAGACAGAGGGCUACAGGAACGUGAUUGUCUCUGACCUCACCACUUCUUGGAAGAGUGGCCUGGCACUGUGUGCCCUAAUUCAUAGCUUCCGAGCUGACCUUGUUGACUUUGAUUCCCUCAAUGAGGAAGACUCAGCCAGAAACAACCAGCUGGCAUUCGACAUUGCCGAACAGGAGUUUGGCAUCCCUCCCGUAACCACAGGGAAGGAGAUGGCAGCUGACAGGGGGCCUGACAAGCUGAGCAUGGUCAUGUACCUCUCCAAGUUUUACGAGCUGUUCCAGGGCUCACCAGUACAGCCACCAGGAAUAAGAAGAAAAAUUAAAGAGGACAAUGAGCAAUGUCCAUCAAAGCCAGCCAACUCUGUUUACAGCAACUUGAUAACCCAAACUCUGCCAAGGAAACGGAUACCAAAGGUUGACAAAAAGUUGGAAGACAGUGAUUAUACGAGCAAAAGGAGGAGAAGGGGCUGCAAUCAUUUGGAAGAGGUUUGUUUGAAGCAUGCGACAAACCUUUCCAGUCAGAGCCCGUGCUCAGUGAGCGAGGGUGGAGAGGGGAAAGUGGGAGGGAAUCAGAACAAAGUAAAAUCCAUGGCUAAUCAGCUCAUCGCAAAGUUUGAAGAAAAUGCUCCAAGCUGUACUUUACGUCGACAGGUUGAGUCUGGUUCAAGUGCAAUAAAGCCACCAAAGCCUCCUUAUCUUGACAUGAUUGAGAACCCUCGCUUCGCCAAGCCUAUGGACCAAACUCCUGUUCCUCCACAGAAGAGGCAGUUACAGUCUUCAGCGAGUAUUCAAUAUGUGGUCGAAAGGACAGAGCAGCCAUUGCAGAGCACUGGGUACGCUCUGCCCAGGAAACCUAAACAGGCCGAUAAAGCACUUGUUGAAGCAGAAAGCACAGACUGCUCGGCUUCCUGUCGCUCCACUGUCUUAGCUGUGUCAGGAAUGCUUCAGCGCCUUCAGCGGGUUGAAGAAAAAGUCAAACAGCGGAAAGCUCAGUCUCAGUCUGCUAGGGAGUUUCACAAAAAAAGCGUUAAAGAGAAGGCUGCUCAUCUCUGUUCUCUGUUUGGGUACAUGGCUUUUCAACCUCAGAGUGCGCUGCCCGCUCCCAGCCUUUUACCAUCCCGGCCAAAAAACUCUUUGGCCUCUCCUUCCCCAGAAUCCUCCGCUGCUUCACCCUUUUCAUCUCAAACAUCAGCUCCAUCUUCUCAACGCCCUCCACAGGAUCUAGAUAAGCUGCUAUAUAGAACAGGUGAGCCCAGUGAACAGCCGAAAAGGAGGAAUGUGAACAAUGGAAAUGGUACCUCAUGUGUAAUCUUUCAGAACCCCAUUUUCGAAAAGCCCGAGUCUAAACAGACUCAGACAUUGAGUUCUUCAGGACAGAUGACUGUUGGAAAAGUGUCUUCAGUCAUUGGUGCAAUGGCUGAAGUUCUAGUCACCCUCUAUGAGAAUGAUCACAGGCCCAAAGCUUGUUGCACAUCUCCUGUGCUGGGGUCGAUGCGCAAGGAGUUCCCACAGAACCUCGGGGGCAGCGACACGUGCCACUUCUGUAAGAAGAGGGUUUACGUGAUGGAACGCCUCAGCACAGAGGGCAGGUUCUUCCACAGAGAGUGCUUCAGGUGUGACGUCUGCAACACCACCUUGCGCCUGGGUGCUUAUGCCUUUGAUGUGGAUGAAGGUAAAUUUUACUGCAAGCCUCAUUUCACUCAACGCAAGACCAGUGUCAAGCACAGGAAGAGGCGUGUAGAUCUAGAAAAGGAUGAGAAGGAGGUUGUGAAGCAGGAGGACUCUGGAACGUCUGCCCAGGAAGCAGCAAGCACUUACUCGGCCAUGGGAAGCCUGGAGAGCCGGCCCCCAGGUACCAUGACUUCCUUCCUUAGGAAAACCAUAAGCUGGCCGCUGCGUGUGACCCGGGAUGUGUUUGAUAUCCCCAGACGCCUGUCUCGCUGGAUGCAUGGUGCAGUGCACGCCACUGGCCUCCAUUUCAGGGACAAUGCCAAUGAUUAUACCUACUUGUAUGAGCUGUUAAGCCUAGGUGUGCCUCUUCUCUGCAUGCUCCAUGAGAUACUGGGGCACAUGUUCAUGGAAGCCGCACCUCCAACACUUGAAUAUGUGCUUGAAUGGGUGGAGAUGCAAUUAGGUGUGAAGCUUAACUAAAGUGCCACUGAGUACCAAAUGUGCCAUUCAGUAUUGGGUGAUGCUUGGUUUGAAUUGGACAUUGUAGCAUUCAUCACUGUUUCAUGAAAAUGACAUGGCCUUCUCUGAUGAUGUGCAUUGAUUACCUGCCAAAAAGACUAAAUCUUAGCUUUGAUCCACCCAAUACCCCCAUUCUUGAAGUUAAAAAAAACUUGAUGUAUUUCCAUUUAGAAGAAGCAGUAUAUCCCAGGCAAACAAAAUGCAGUUGGAUUGUAAUUUUCAAUAAGUAUGUAAAUUUUGAUUUAAUCUUGGCCUGACAUUUGUAUGCGCCUCUUAUACCUAAUCUUAGGCACUUUUAUUGCAGUUAUUGGAUGUGUUUAAGAAACAAUUUUAUCCUUCAGCAUUUCAAACUAGUAAAUUACAAAUCCAAUUGAAAACCAAGAUGUAAACCCAAUAAAUAGUUUAUGAUGAAAAGCUAAACGGAUUGCAACAGGUAACAUGCAUAGUCAGACAGUGAUCCAUAUCAUUUUUGAAAAUCUCAUAAAUGUUGUGGGUGUCCAGUUCAAACAGGGUCACCUGAUUUGGUCUUCUCUUUAUUUGAAUGCAGUCUUAGCCAACAAUAACACCUUCAGAGAAUUAUAAAGCUGUAAUAACAUUCAGAAUUGUUUAUCAAUGCUAUUCCAAAAUUCAUAAUUAAGAAAAAAGUAAUCAUAAUGCAUAGCAUUUGUUGCAGAAAAUUGCUUGCACAAUCAACACUUUUGUUAUGGUUAGGGUUUGAAUUGGGGUUAAGGUUUAAAAUAUGCAAUAUGUCUUUUUAUGAGUGUUAUUACAGCAUGGUUACAUAGCCUCUGUGAAGUUGUGUGGGCUACAUUUAAGAAUGCAUUCAAAUAUACAGUAGUGCUACCCCUGGUGUUACUGUAAUAGAGCUUAGCAAUCAAAUUAAUAGGUUUUAACAAACUAAGGGUGUCUUCCGUUUUUCAAUGCUUUGCUCAGGUUACAAUAGUCUAAAAAUCUUUUAAAAAGUAAAAAGGAUUUACUGAAUGCACUUUAAUUUUAGGCACUGUCCCAUUCUUUUAUUUAAAUGGGAAUGGAAGAGCUUUUUCUUAAUAUCGAGGGUUAAAAUAUGCAGUAAAUCUUUGUGAAUUCGGCCAUUACGCACACAGUUUACUAAACAUUAGAAACCUUUUUGUGCAAUGUGUAAUGCAUUCUUAUCCAUUUCCAAGGAAAAUGCCAAAAAGCCUAUAAAAGCCAUUCUCAGAAUCUCUUUUUAAAAAUGAAACAAAAGUUUACAUCUUUUUGUUCUCCAUAAUGCUGCCAUCAACAGAUUUUAAAUACCAUUGGUGAACAAAACAGUGCAUUUUUUGUAGCACAUUUGUUUUUUUAAUAUUGACAGUUGUUUUAGUAUUGACAAUAUUGUGACAAUUGAUUUUAAAAUUGAGGAUUUUCAAUUUUAAAUAACAUGCACAAUGCUCUCCAAUUUUUUAUUGAAUUUAUAUUGCUAUUGAUUUAGGUUCUUUUGAUACUUUUUGUAGUUUACACUCACAUUUACCAUGGUUUACAUUUUAUUACAUUAUUUGUUAAUACCAACAUGUAAGAUAUAGAAUAAUGUUUAUUGUUCAGCUUUACAUUCUGAAGAACAGAGUGCUAAAAAGGCCUGAAUACACUCAUUUUGGUCUGGUUUACAUUUUUAUGUUUAAGUUGCCUUUACAGCAACACUGGAUAUACAGGAGGUUUAAAUUCCAACUUUUUUUAUUCACAAAUGUUUCAAUUGUUUCUUGUUAUGCAAAUGACAGUGAUAGUUUUAGACUUGAAAACUUCCUGCAACAUCUCUAUUUCUAUAGCUUUACCUAACAAAAACGAGUUUCGUGUGGAUAGUUUUCUAAAUUACUGUUGAUAAAAAAAGAGAAAUAAAACAAGCACAAAAACAGAGAAAUUAAGAUUUUUAUCAAAUGUAUCAGACAGGAAUGUUCCAAAUUGUUCAGCUCCCCUCUGGAGGUUUUCCUUUGCUAAUUAUGUUUAAGUUCAAAUGCCAGAAUUAUUUGUACUGGCUGCUGCUUUUCUAAGCAUUUUUCAAAGAAUUCCAUUCCCAUGUUUUUUGACAUAUUGGCGGUGAAAAGAAUAGAAAACAAAUGCUGUCUUUUUAGUUAGACAUAUUUUGUAUCAGGCAGUUCGAUGCUUAUAUAGGCAGCUGCAAACCGAACUUUGACCAGCGUGUGGAGUAUAUAUCCAGAGAGCAGGAUGUGAUAAACCCUCUUUGGCAUUCAUAACUGCGCAGGCAGCAAUAGGUUGUAAUGCUUUUCUGUAAUUCCACCUCAUUUUUAAAAUUUUUCUAACCAAAUCAUUUCCUAAAUAAGCAUAUGUGCUAAUAACUUUGAAAGACAUAAUGUAAGGAUAUCAGGGUUUUUGUAAACAAAAUAAAUAUUGAACUGUACAUGCAAACAAAAUAAUAUGGACAUUUCUUUGUACUUCUUUAGAGCUGGUAGCACCUAAUUUUUUAUUUAAUAUCAGUUCUUUUGUGUGUUUCACUUUUUUAAUAUUCAUGUCAACAGAAGCACUGAAACUGUAGUGUUUUAGGUAGAUUGCAUCACUUCUUAGAAAACAGUGUGCAGUUGUGUGGAGAGAAUUAAUUAAAUUAUUUCACUCCUCACAUCCAUUGAAGGCUGACUGAUCUUAUUUUAUUCAUAUACCCCAAUGUAAUUUAAUAAGAAGUCAGAUUUCUUCAAAGGACCAAAAUCAGAUAUACAUAUUGAAUACAACCAGUCACAUCUAAGGAUCAUUCCAGUAUUUUGAAAAUCAUGUUUCUAUAAAUAGCUCCACGUCAAUUGGGAGUUGCAAAUCCAGAUUCUUACUUCUUGCAAUUCAUGGGAGCAGGUGUGUGUUUAAAGUUUUUAUACCAGGGUUUUCACCAAAGAAUUGUACCAAAUGCUUUGGAUACAAACAUCUCUACACUGGAAGAAAUUUAAAAGUUGUAAUUAAGAUUUUCAUUUUACUUUUUAUUGAUCUGUUUCCCGCUGUUGCUAACCAAAUUGUAUUGAAAUAUUCUCAGUGCAUUCAUUAUAAAGCUUUCUGUAUAAAUAGUGCUAGUUUUUUUUCUUUGUGUUAGUUUUUAUUUUAGUGCUGUAGUAGGAAGGUUUAAAUGUUUGUCAACAGUCAAGUAUGUUCAUACAUACUGUUAAGCAGGUUUUUGUUUUUAGUUGAAGGAAAGCAUUGGAAAUGAUUUAUAGGUAUUUCCUAGAUUUACCUUCUGUAUUGUACCUUCAGUUUGUCUUAGCUAAAAUUUGUUAUAAAAACACAGCAAGGAAACACCUGUGUAUAUCAUCUGCAAAUUGUUGUUUCAAUCUGCAAUCACAUUUGCUCUUGUGCAAAAAAACAGUAGGGUUUGUAUGUGUUUUGUAUUUUUUCUCAAUUGAAUCUUUCUGAUGUAGAUUCUCUUACUUUCCUUGAUUUGCCAGUGUAACUUAUCUGCUUUAACCACACUAAGCUUUCAUUUUUCUCUUUUUCUCUUUUCAAUCCUUCCAUUAUUUUAUUCCCUUUUUUACAAUUUGCUUGUAGUCUGUUUCAAGUUUCCAGCACUGCAACCUCUCAUUGGCUGAAAAACAAGUAACAAGAAUGAGCUUCUCUUUCAGAAAGCCACUCAAGAAUCUGUCUUAUUCUUCCUAAAAUUGCGGUUAAUAUUAUUCACAGGAUUUCAGUUUUACAUAUUUUACAAAUUCACCAUAGAGAGAUGUUUUGUAAAUUUAAAGUUGUAUUUAUAAAACAAAAUCACUUGCAAUACUGUAUUUUGCACAGUCAAAAAAAACUGUUUAGCUUUAUUUAUGAUAUUUAAAGCUGUAAGUAUAAAUAAAUGGAUACAAUUCUUUAUAAA
Non-coding RNA from Lepisosteus oculatus (spotted gar), 7877 nucleotides. The record is from RefSeq and is a predicted model, not a curated record. Lineage: Eukaryota; Metazoa; Chordata; Actinopteri; Semionotiformes; Lepisosteidae.